Molecule: ribosomal RNA, 407 nt
Filed under: uncultured bacterium
Lineage: Bacteria
Description: partial 16S ribosomal RNA
Rfam family: Bacterial small subunit ribosomal RNA
Source: RNAcentral
GACGAACGCUGGCGGCGUGCCUAAUACAUGCAAGUCGACCUUAGUGGCGGACGGGUGAGUAAUGCCUAGGAAUCUGCCUGGUAGUGGGGGAUAACGUCCGGAAAAGGGCGCUCAUACCGCAUACUAUCAGAUGAGGCUAGGUCGGAUUAGCAAGUUGGUGGGGUAAAGGCAUGCCACGGCGACGAUCCGUAACUGGUCUGAGAGGAUGAUCAGCCACACUGGAACUGUGACACGGUCCAGACUCCUACGGGAGGCAGCAGUGGGGAAGAUUGGACAAUGGGCGAAAGCCUGAUCCAGCCAUGCCGCGUGUGUGAAGAAGGUCUUCGGAUUGUAAAGCACUGUAAGUUGGGAGGCGUUACCAACAGAAUAAGCACCGGCUAACUUCGUGCCAGCAGCCGCGGUAAUUC